Molecule: ribosomal RNA, 497 nt
Filed under: uncultured bacterium
Lineage: Bacteria
Description: partial 16S ribosomal RNA
Rfam family: Bacterial small subunit ribosomal RNA
Source: RNAcentral
GAUGAACGCUGGCGGCGUGCCUAAUACAUGCAAGUCGAGCGAACAGACGAGGAGCUUGCUCCUCUGACGUUAGCGGCGGACGGGUGAGUAACACGUGGAUAACCUACCUAUAAGACUGGGAUAACUUCGGGAAACCGGCGCUAAUACCGGAUAAUAUAUUGAACCGCAUGGUUCAAUAGUGAAAGUCGGUUUUGCUGUCACUUAUAGAUGGAUCCGCGCCGCAUUAGCUAGUUGGUAAGGUAACAGCUUACCAAGGCAACGAUGCGUAGCCGACCUGAGAGGGUGAUCGGCCACACUGGAACUGAGACACGGUCCAGACUCCUACGGGAGGCAGCAGUAGGGAAUCUUCCGCAAUGGGCGAAAGCCUGACGGAGCAACGCCGCGUGAGUGAUGAAGGUCUUCGGAUCGUAAAACUCUGUUAUUAGGGAAGAACAAAUGUGUAAGUAACUAUGCACGUCUUGACGGUACCUAAUCAGAAAGCCACGGCUAACUACGUG